This 88-nucleotide transfer RNA is filed under the name Corynebacterium diphtheriae CDCE 8392. Its description in RNAcentral is "tRNA-Ser". It matches the Rfam family "tRNA". From Rfam's summary of the family: Transfer RNA (tRNA) molecules are approximately 80 nucleotides in length. Their secondary structure includes four short double-helical elements and three loops (D, anti-codon, and T loops). Lineage: Bacteria; Bacillati; Actinomycetota; Actinomycetes; Mycobacteriales; Corynebacteriaceae. The record is from RNAcentral.
GGAGAUGUGGCAGAGCGGCCGAAUGCACUGGUCUUGAAAACCAGCGGUGGGAAACCAUCCCAGGGUUCAAAUCCCUGCGUCUCCGCAA